Molecule: long non-coding RNA, 351 nt
Filed under: Nicotiana benthamiana
Lineage: Eukaryota; Viridiplantae; Streptophyta; Magnoliopsida; Solanales; Solanaceae
Description: long non-coding RNA (NBEN_LNC041910)
Source: RNAcentral
UUUAAUAAAAUUCUAAAUUCGAUUUUUUUUUUUUUGGAAUUCAUGUCGAAACGCCUACAUAAUCCAUAUGCAAUAAGAAAGCCACAAAUGUAGUUGUUAAAGCACAAGAGAGAGUGUUUCUGAGAUAUGACGUCUCUUCCUAGAAUCAAUGUAGGAAGAGAUUUGAAGAAGCUUUAUGCCACACAAACCACUACAUAAAAUGAUCAGAAAAUAAGAAGCAACAUGCAUUCCUCCACUUCUAUAACUAGGCUGGCAGGCUUGAACUGCAAUUGAAAAUUUGCCUUUUUUUUCACAACUGGCAGCUACAGAAAUAUCCAGGAUUCAGAAACAGCAAAACCACUUUUUCUUCUG